This 436-nucleotide ribosomal RNA is filed under the name uncultured bacterium. RNAcentral's name for it is "partial 16S ribosomal RNA". It matches the Rfam family "Bacterial small subunit ribosomal RNA", at positions 28 to 507 of the family's 1533-position model. The record is from RNAcentral.
GAUGAACGCUGGCGGUAUGCUUAACACAUGCAAGUCGAACGGGGUGCAUAGUCACCUAGUGGCGGACGGGUGAGUAACGCGGGAGAAUCUGGCCUCAGGUCCGGGACAACCACGGGAAACGGUGGCUAAUACCGGAUGUGCCAUAUUGGUGAAAGAUUAAUUGCCUGAGGAUGAGCUCGCGUCUGAUUAGCUAGUUGGUGGGGUAAAGGCUUACCAAGGCGACGAUCAGUAACUGGUCUGAGAGGAUGACCAGUCACACUGGGACUGAGACACGGCCCAGACUCCUACGGGAGGCAGCAGUGGGGCAUUUUCCGCAAUGGGCGAAAGCCUGACGGAGCAAUACCGCGUGAGGGAGGAAGGCUCUUGGGUUGUAAACCUCUUUUCUCAGGGAAGAAGAAUGACGGUACCUGAGGAAUCAGCAUCGGCUAACUCCGUG